AGGGCCUUAGUUCAAUGGUAGAAUGUCCGCCUCCAAAGCGGAAUAUGCGGGUUCGAUUCCUGCAGGCCCUGCCA
Molecule: transfer RNA, 74 nt
Filed under: Candidatus Peregrinibacteria bacterium
Lineage: Bacteria; Candidatus Peregrinibacteriota
Description: tRNA-Trp
Rfam family: tRNA
About the family: Transfer RNA (tRNA) molecules are approximately 80 nucleotides in length. Their secondary structure includes four short double-helical elements and three loops (D, anti-codon, and T loops).
Source: RNAcentral